GUGCUUGUUUCGGUAGCACAUAUACUAAUAUUAGAAUGACACAAAGAAGAUUAGCAUGGCCCCUGUGCAAAGAUGACACACAAAUUUGUGAAGCGUUCUAUACAAAC
Small nuclear RNA from Myotis lucifugus (little brown bat), 107 nucleotides. The record is from Ensembl. NCBI's taxonomy places the organism in Eukaryota, Metazoa, Chordata, Mammalia, Chiroptera, Vespertilionidae.